GGUCACUGAGAUUUUUACAAUUGCAGAAUGGGUCCCUAUGCUACAUAAAGUACAUAAAAUUGGUCCGUUCCUAAAAUGUCAGCAAUCCUUAAAAAUAAACUUUUUUUCUUUUCUUACAACUUUUUUUUUUUUUUUUUUUUGGGGUAGUCCUGAAUAGCAGACUACUUUCAAGAAUGCAGUCUUUCUAGACCCCGGUCUUUCUUGUUCUAGAGACUGUCUACAUUGUGCACUAGCGAACACUUAAUUGACCUGUAGUGGUCCUUUCAUUUUAACUCUGCAAUGAAAAACAUUAGUUUUGUAGAAACAUUGCGGUCUAAAUGUAUCUCUCGGCCGCUGUCUCUAGAAUAACACCCUUCUGAUGGCAGGAUUGUAUUGGAGGAGCGCUCAGCAUUAGGCUGCACAUUACAAUCAUCUAUGUAAAGCAGUGGAUGAUAUUGCUGACGUCCUCGUAGGCGGAGUGGGCGGCUGCAAGAAAGAACUCCCCGGUCUGGGAAAAGGAAGUCAUUAUUUCACUUUAUUCUACUAGCAAUGAGGGCUGGACAUUUAAUAUGUUUCAGAGGAAAGAAGGAAUACACCUCCCACCACCCAAUUGAAAGGUUCUCGUUAAACGUAAUUUUUGAACAAUUUUUUAAAUUCAAACUAGCAGAGUGGUGGUUUCUUUAAGUUUUGGCAGUUUGGCCUACAGCUUGCACUUCUAAUAAUUCCCAGUUAAGUAAACACACCCUAUUAUUUAAGCUGAAGGGCCAGUGGGGAGACGAAGCGGUUCGUUGCUUUACUUGCUGCAUGGAUACAAAUGCUCUCCUUUGUUGAGCUCUGUUGCUUGUGUUAGAAGAGGGAAGAUGAAAUAUCUGCAUAGCUUGUGCAGUUUACGUAGCAGGAAUUUUAUUCAGCGGUUUCCCUUUGGUUUUGUGUUGAAAAGGUUCCCACACCAGUUACAGAAAUUGACAUUGCAGCCUCAAAUAGAAAAAUGGAUUUUAUCAUAGUAAAUACAAGACACAGUAUCUCUCUUGUCUAUAAUCUGUGUCCUUUUGUUGCUGCCAAGACAAUGAAACAGCAACAGGUAUAGAGGCCAGUACAUUGUGUUCCGUCCACCCCCCCCCCCCUCCACCUAUCCAAACAGCCAUCUUCUAACACCCUCUGUCGUAUUGUCCAUUAUCCGACCAAAUGCUCGCUAUUUCCCAACUGUUCAUUUUCAAAACUGAACAGUCUAUUGAAGGUUUUCAGCUACCUCUAUAGAAACCGCAAAAUCAGGGUCAUUUUAACAAAAAUGUUUUGUUUGCAUUCAUAUUGAUGAAUAAAUCCCAAUGUGUCUGUCCCUUUACUGGCAAACUAUCUUCCUAAGAAGGUGAUGCGCAGUAUCUUAGUAUCUCCUUUAAGAUUUCUAUAACAGCUAACUUUCACAUAGUACACGUGAAUGAGAAUAAAAGAAGCUAAAACCCUGUCUUGGGGUGUGCAUGUUAGAAUGCUUUUGAUUUAUAGAAAUUCUGUAAAAUGAUUUGCUGGCAAAACAAAUUUCUACACACACCAUAUUAUAUGUGCAAACCCUUUUAAGUGAUUUGUUCAAAUAAAAUGAUUGAACGGAUCAGUUCCUGAAAUUUCCUUUUUGGGUAUGGAUUAAAAGGAUUUUGAUUAAGGUAAUUCGGUUUGUUUGUGAACCAAAUCUUGCGAAUCAAUUCUUAACAGGCAUUUUAUUGUGACGAACCUCUGAAAAUACAUUUUUGCAUAUGUUAAUGGAGACCUUCACUUUAAGUGUUAAAGGGAACCACAUUUCAAGCCCUAAUGCUAUAGUGUUCCUUUAAUCCUGAGCCUGUUCGUACCAUUUAACCAUUUGUAUGCAUGCAGUAUGAUUAAGCUUUCUCAGGUAGGAUAUUGUGUCUGCCCCCCUAAUAUUACAAACAAACUGUACCUACUUCACCAACACAGGCUCACAGUACAGGCCAAAAACAGGGAGUUUCAUCAUUUUUAUUUAUUUGUCAUACUUGCUACACCGCUUCUAUACUAAUAUUUUAUACCCUUUAUGCAAGAUAAGGGAUAUUGUAAUCUCUAUUACCAUUAAUACUUUACAAACAGCAGUGUAACGCCACCCCAAACUAGCGUAUUUCAGCAAUGAUAUUUUCCUUAAGUGUUAUUGAGAAUGAGUAGAUCCAAUCCCCUUCACACUAUUUAUUUAUUAAAUCACUUACAAUGGGCAUGGCGUUGAUCAAGCCAACCCCGUAACCAUAACAAAUACUUUAUAAAUACUGGAUUUAUGCAUUUAUACACAUUUCCAUAACACAUAGAGUAGUUAAAAAUAUAUUGUAUAAUAUGUAAUAAAUUAAAUACAUAAAAUAUUUAUAGAAAUGGCUAUAUAAAGGCUAUUUUCUUUCUGAAUAAGGCAGUUGGCAGCAAUGUGAACUGCAAUGCUGUGUGUGGCACGAUCACUGUGUAUCACCUAUAUUCACUAACACAGGACUUGUUGGGAACUCAACGUGAGUUUCACAUUUUAGGCCAAACAGUCAAAUUGGAAACGUAGCUUCUUGAAGAAUUCUUCCAAUUUGGCUAUUGUCUAAAAUAUGAAAUCAGUUUGAAUGCCCAACAAUUCACAGUUAAGCAAGUAACCCUGAACAUGUUACCUUGUGUCGCAGGUAGCUUUUCAUGUUUGUAUCCACUUUAUCAGAAAAGGCAGGUCUUCUGGAAUAAUUGCAAGGCAUUGUUUACAUUGGGCAGGCAAGCAUUGGCACUCCAGACAUUGUGACCUUCAUUAAGGGAGCUGUAAUCUGGACUGUCAAAUAUUGCCUAUCCCUCUACUAGUAAAUAAACACCAUAGUGUUACCCCCCCACGGCAGCACCCAAAGGGUUAAAUAACUCUCACCUUAUUGCACGAUGAAGUCUCUCCACCACCGCCAAGUAGAACCUAAUGCACAUGCAGGGGGAGCACAUUUUUUCCACAAGAGAAAUAAUUGAAUCAAUGAAUUCCUAUUCAGAAGGUACUAGAUGUCUUGUUUGGUAGACAACCAUUAGAGGCAGUCUUAACCCUGCCAUAUAAACAUUGUAAAACUGCAGUGCUUCGGGGACAAGGACCAUACAGCCAGGGACAACUGCAAUGAGAUGAAGUGGUCUGGGUGCCUAUAGUAUUUAACAUUUUAUACACAGAAUUAUAUUAUACUUAUCCUUGCUCCCUAGCCUUCACACUUACAGUGUAUAUAUAAACUGAAUGAAUCUAGUUUCAUGAAUGAAGCUACUGCCAUGUUUUUGGACUAUGUAUCCCAUACGUCGGGGUGUACAGGGAGGGCUAAAGUUAUCUUUGAAAUCCAAGCCAUUUUCCUGUCCCUGGACAAGCUGCACCAAAUUUUAGUUAUUGGGGGUCAUGGAUCACGCAUUUCACCCCAUGAGGGAGGCUUGCGUCUUGGUGACAUUUGGUUAAUAGCUGCAGAAACUGGGGAAAAAAGCUCCAUAUCUAAUUAAAAUUGUAUACUGAUUUAAAAACCAACAACAAACUAACAUGGAGCAAAUCAUAAAUGGUAAAUUGUUCAAUAAUCAGAAAAAAAAGUUAAAAUAUUCACCUUCUCUAAUUUUUGUUAAUUUUUAACAUUAUUAGAUCUUAAACAUUGUGUUUAAUAACCCUUAGUCUUAGGAUACCAAUCUCGAAUCGUGUGCAUUCAAUAUACUAAUAUUUACAGUAAAUUGUACACAAAAUAUGUAGAUCAUUUUUAUCAUGUUUGCAAAUGGUAAUGCUAUGAUAGAUUUUCUGUAAGGGAUCUCUGAAACUGCAUUAAAACGUUUAAUGAGCUAAUUGGAGCAUUAAAUCAGGAUAUAGAUACCUUUUUAUAUGUCCAGGGAUGUAUUAGACCUUCUCUUAAAAACUAGGACUAUUUUUUUUUUUUUUUUUUUUUUAAAGAAUGACUGUCAUAAAUAUUUAACUUCUCAAAAGUUUGUUACAUAAAUGAAACCGUGAUUUAAAAAAAUAAAUAUAAAAAAUAUAUAGUCAACACAUGGUUAAACGCAGAUCUGCACACACCAGUCAAGCCAUACGACUUGCUUUUUCCACAGAAAUCUCAAGUUUGCAGUGAUGUUACUACUGCAAGGGAUUCUGGGUGGCCAUAUGCAAAUAA
Pelobates cultripes (western spadefoot toad) is the source of this 4091-nucleotide non-coding RNA. The record is from the annotation of a GenBank genome assembly. Lineage: Eukaryota; Metazoa; Chordata; Amphibia; Anura; Pelobatidae.